AAGCCACACUGUGGCAGAUGAUGGACACUGUCUGACACAAAUUGAACUUGCUAUCACAAGAAAGUCUGACCUGUCUUAGUGUUCUCCUCCAUGAGACCAACUGUUACAUAGACUUCAACAAU
Molecule: small nucleolar RNA, 122 nt
Organism: Mustela putorius furo (domestic ferret)
Lineage: Eukaryota; Metazoa; Chordata; Mammalia; Carnivora; Mustelidae
Source: Ensembl